RNAcentral lists this unclassified non-coding RNA (314 nucleotides) under plant metagenome. RNAcentral's name for it is "partial contains 5.8S ribosomal RNA, internal transcribed spacer 2, and large subunit ribosomal RNA". The stretch from base 1 to 105 matches the Rfam family "5.8S ribosomal RNA", at positions 50 to 154 of the family's 154-position model. The record is from RNAcentral.
GAAAUGCGAUAAUUAAUGUGAAUUGCAGAAUUCAGUGAAUCAUCGAGUCUUUGAACGCACAUUGCGCCCCCUGGUAUUCCGGGGGGCAUGCCUGUCCGAGCGUCAUUGCUGCCCUCAAGCACGGCUUGUGUGUUGGGCUUCCGUCCCUGGCAACGGGGACGGGCCCAAAAGGCAGUGGCGGCACCAUGUCUGGUCCUCGAGCGUAUGGGGCUUUGUCACCCGCUCCCGUAGGUCCAGCUGGCAGCUAGCCUCGCAACCAAUCUUUUUAACCAGGUUGACCUCGGAUCAGGUAGGGAUACACGCUGAACUUAAGC